Molecule: ribosomal RNA, 478 nt
Filed under: uncultured bacterium
Lineage: Bacteria
Description: partial 16S ribosomal RNA
Rfam family: Bacterial small subunit ribosomal RNA
Source: RNAcentral
GACGAACGCUGGUGGCGUGCUUAACACAUGCAAGUCGAACGGGAUUUAGUAAACAGACGCCUCGGUGGAAGAUUACUAAUGAGAGUGGCGAACGGGUGAGUAACGCGUGAGCAACCUGCCUAUGACAGUGGGAUAGCCUCGGGAAACCGGGAUUAAUACCGCAUAAAAUCGUAGAAACACAUGUUUUUACGGUCAAAGAUUUAUCGGUCAUAGAUGGGCUCGCGUCUGAUUAGCUAGUUGGUGAGAUAACAGCCCACCAAGGCGACGAUCAGUAGCCGGUCUGAGAGGAUGAACGGCCACAUUGGAACUGAGACACGGUCCAAACUCCUACGGGAGGCAGCAGUGGGGAAUAUUGCACAAUGGGGGAAACCCUGAUGCAGCGACGCCGCGUGAACGAAGAAGGUAUUCGUAUCGUAAAGUUCUGUCCUAUGGGAAGAUAAUGACAGUACCAUAGAAGAAAGCUCCGGCUAAAUACGUG